This 71-nucleotide transfer RNA is filed under the name Monodelphis domestica (gray short-tailed opossum). It matches the Rfam family "tRNA". From Rfam's summary of the family: Transfer RNA (tRNA) molecules are approximately 80 nucleotides in length. Their secondary structure includes four short double-helical elements and three loops (D, anti-codon, and T loops). The record is from Rfam by way of RNAcentral. Lineage: Eukaryota; Metazoa; Chordata; Mammalia; Didelphimorphia; Didelphidae.
GGCUGGGUAGCUCAGUGGAUUAGAGCCAACCUAGAGGUGGGAGGUCCUAGGUUCGAAUCCAGCCUCAGCCA